UACGAAGGGUGCAAGCGUUACUCGGAAUUACUGGGCGUAAAGCGUGCGUAGGUGGUUCGUUAAGUCUGAUGUGAAAGCCCUGGGCUCAACCUGGGAAUGGCAUUGGAAACUGGCGACCUAGAGUGCGGUAGAGGGUAGUGGAAUUCCCGGUGUAGCAGUGAAAUGCGUAGAGAUCGGGAGGAACAUCCGUGGCGAAGGCGACUACCUGGACCAGCACUGACACUGAGGCACGAAAGCGUGGGGGGCAAACAGG
RNAcentral lists this ribosomal RNA (253 nucleotides) under uncultured bacterium. Its description in RNAcentral is "partial 16S ribosomal RNA". It matches the Rfam family "Bacterial small subunit ribosomal RNA", at positions 524 to 776 of the family's 1533-position model. The record is from RNAcentral.